This 506-nucleotide ribosomal RNA is filed under the name uncultured bacterium. RNAcentral's name for it is "partial 16S ribosomal RNA". It matches the Rfam family "Bacterial small subunit ribosomal RNA", at positions 28 to 523 of the family's 1533-position model. The record is from RNAcentral.
GAUGAACGCUAGCUACAGGCUUAACACAUGCAAGUCGAGGGGUAACGAGAGGAAAGCUUGCUUUCCUUGUCGACGACCGGCGCACGGGUGAGUAACGCGUAUCCAACCUGCCCCCAACUAGGGAAUAACCUUGCGAAAGUAAGACUAAUACCCUAUAAUUUCCUAAGAUGUAAUCUGACGAGGAAUAAAGAUUUAUCGGUUGUGGAUGGGGAUGCGUCUGAUUAGCUUGUUGGCGGGGUAACGGCCCACCAAGGCAACGAUCAGUAGGGGUUCUGAGAGGAAGGUCCCCCACAUUGGAACUGAGACACGGUCCAAACUCCUACGGGAGGCAGCAGUGAGGAAUAUUGGUCAAUGGGCGGAAGCCUGAACCAGCCAAGUAGCGUGCAGGAUGACGGCCCUAUGGGUUGUAAACUGCUUUUAUACAGGAAUAAAGUUAGCCACGUGUGGUUAUUUGUAGGUACUGUAUGAAUAAGGACCGGCUAAUUCCGUGCCAGCCGCCGCGGUAA